RNAcentral lists this ribosomal RNA (406 nucleotides) under uncultured bacterium. RNAcentral's name for it is "partial 16S ribosomal RNA". It matches the Rfam family "Bacterial small subunit ribosomal RNA", at positions 29 to 526 of the family's 1533-position model. The record is from RNAcentral.
AUUGAACGCUGGCGGCAGGCCUAACACAUGCAAGUAGAACGAGUGGCGGACGGGUGAGGAAUGGCUGGGAAAUUGCCCGAUGGAGGGGGAUAACUACUGGAAACGGUAGCUAAUACAGCCUACCAGCGGAGGAGCCCAGAUGGGAUUAGAUAGUGGGUGGGGUAAUGGCACACCUAGGCGACGAUCCCUAGCUGGUCUGAGAGGAUGACCAGCCACCCUGGAACUGAGACACGGUCCAGACUCCUACGGGAGGCAGCAGUGGGGAAUAUUGCACAAUGGGCGCAAGCCUGAUGCAGCCAUGCCGCGUGUAUGAAGAAGGCCUUCGGGUUGUAAAGUACUUUCAGCGAGGAGGCGUUACUCGCAGAAGACGCACCGGCUAACUCCGUGCCAGCCGCCGCGGUAAUAC